AUAUUGCUUUCUUCGUGCGUGUUACAAUAUCUCCUACAAAUUAUCAUAACCCCCUUUUAUAUAGUAGGGGUGUUCUACUCUUGGUAUAAUUCUACAUAAGGUAAAAAAUCUCAUGAUUUACUAAUUAAUCAGCUUCUUCUAGAUAAGUGCCGAAAUUUUCGUCGUGAUCCUCGACUGAUUGCGGAUGAUUCGUCUUUUCAUUAUUCCGCUCGGCAAGUUUCCCUCGAUCUUGCUCGGUCAUUGGGUCACGAGCUCGACGAUCUAAUUUUGCGUCUUGGUUCGAUAUAACUCGAGCUCGAGCUUUGACCUGCCAUGUUUCAGCCUUGAUUGAUCAAAUAAUGGAUGAACACGGUUUCAACCGUAUAUACUAUGUCAAUUAAUUCAAAUUCUCUCUGAGCUGUGCACUAAAGAAGGUUAAAUUUACUAACUAAUUAUGCUCUUUGAUCAUUAGAUGAUGUAGCACAAGAACUCAUCAUAAUUUCUCAACGAAAAGCUAGUUGAAUAAUUAUUUCAUUUUUAUGUGUUUCAGAUUAUGGGAGAGCCAAGAUUUUCACUAAGGAACAAAACAUAAGAAUUUAAAUACACUGUAAAAUUAAAAGGAAUCAAUAUAUAGUAAAUAUAUAUAAAAUAAAAAAAUUUUAUCUAGCAAUACCGUGUAAUUUUCUGGCGGAAGGGUGUCCAUUAACGCUCCUUCAUUGAAUGUGGCUCCGCCACUAAUUCUAGAUAGCGGCGGAGUUGGAUGGGCAGAAGCAGAGGCGAACCCAUAUUGUGG
RNAcentral lists this long non-coding RNA (772 nucleotides) under Nicotiana benthamiana. RNAcentral describes it as "long non-coding RNA (NBEN_LNC028463)". Lineage: Eukaryota; Viridiplantae; Streptophyta; Magnoliopsida; Solanales; Solanaceae. The record is from RNAcentral.